Molecule: ribosomal RNA, 305 nt
Filed under: uncultured bacterium
Lineage: Bacteria
Description: bacterial SSU rRNA
Rfam family: Bacterial small subunit ribosomal RNA
Source: RNAcentral
GGCCCCCUACGGGACGCAGCAGUGGGGAAUAUUGCACAAUGGGGGAAACCCUGAUGCAGCGACGCCGCAUGAAGGAAGAAGUAUUUCGGUAUGUAAACUUCUAUCAGCAGGGAAGAAAAUGACGGUACCUGACUAAGAAGCCCCGGCUAACUACGUGCCAGCAGCCGCGGUAAUACGUAGGGGGCAAGCGAUAUCCGGAUUUACUGGGUGUAAAGGGAGCGUAGGCGGCGAUGCAAGUCAGAAGUGAAAGCCCGGGGCUCAACUCCGGGACUGCUUUUGAAACUGUAUGGCUAGAUUGCAGGAGG